GGCGUGCACCACUGGAUCUUCUGGCUUCAUCCGGCAUUCCUUCACCAUCCACAGGUGACAGUGGUGCCUAGCGGACUGUGUUUCCUAAGUCUAACGGAGCUUGGCAGAGGCCCUGACUCAGGUACACCAGUACUAGCCGCUUCGGAGUCAGACAAUUGAUAGUGGUUCUUAUCUUGCAGCAAAAACAAUUACACGGCAUCACUGCACUGCCGCCACCGCCUGUCUGUUGAGGCAUGCUACCCCACCUGCCACGUGUGGUCGCCAAGACCACCUCCACUCGUUCUCUGCACGUAAGGCUGCGGCUCUCUCUGCAACUCCGAGCUAUACGGUCCGUCUGUUGGUAGUUGCAGCAAAUGAUCGCCUUCUGCAAUCCACGCUGUCCAGUUGGGUCGACUGGAUACAAAAUGUUCACGGCACUCACGGCCGCCAGUCGUCUGCAUGUGGGCCUGAGAUGGCUUUGGCAUAAAGGCUCUGAAUCCCAGCAGAUACUGCAGCAAUGACGACAAUAUUCGAGUUGGGAGAAGUACCGUUGACUCGGCCUGUAGCACUACGACCAGUUACACUCCGUCACCACUAGCCAGGACGUUUGCAUUCCCUAACUGAAUACCGAGACCCCAGCAUUUCCACAUCAGGGCAUUUCCUUGCACACUCACACUUCUGUUGAGGAAACGGUCCUCUCCCAACUCGUGUGGUUGUCGACCAUUUUGUUAAGAAUAUGAAGGCAAGGAGACUGGUCGCGAUAUAAGGGUUACAGUCUGUGGGUUAGUGGUGAACGGCAAGAAGACUUUAGGAGAUUCCUAUGAAGGAAUACCGAUCCAUCCGAAGUUGAGAUAGAAAGACAUGCACCACUCUGGUCUUAUGUACCGAUACCAACGGAAGUAUCGUACAGUCGCCCACCAUCAACGCUGGGCACGAGGGGACGUCCGAGAUAUGCGGCCGGAGUCUGUUAAGACCAGCAAAGCGCCGGACCCCCGUUGGGUCCUAUUACUGUGGCUACCAUUCACUGGUAUAUGAGUGUCGGUCAUUUCCAACACCCCCCCGUGAGCGACACUCUCUCGCUCCGGGCCUUCCCGUGCCUCAUCCCGGUCUCCCAUUCUCUGGGCAACAGCCAGUGGGUAUCGAUCCGGCGACCUCUCGGCAGCGCAAUGCGCCAUUCGGGGCUCAUAACCUAUUGAAGAAUUGGCGACGGUGACGGCUAACGCUGAUUGUUAUUCCGGAAGGAUUGCCGGUGGCGAAGAUAUUUAGCACGAUAAACUUGUUACAAGUAAUGUAAAGAGUAUUGUUAGCGUUCGGCAGGACUUGAGGAGAUUCCUGGUAGGAAUACCGAUCGUUGUGAGAUAAACUAAUAGGCGCAGUCACCGCCCUAAAUACCGGCGCUAGCGGAAAACUCGUACAUUCCGCGAUCUAACUGCACGUACAUUCCGCGAUCUCACUGCGCCGUCCAGACGGUGCCCUAAUGUCUAUCACUUAGCUACCGGAUAUGCAUCGGUAGCCCCAUAAGGUUCUGGGGUAAGUCUUCCCCAUUAGUCAGGCGCAGACCCGGGGUCAAAUCCCCUGGUCG
RNAcentral lists this long non-coding RNA (1561 nucleotides) under Volvox carteri. RNAcentral describes it as "long non-coding RNA (VCAR_LNC001082)". The record is from RNAcentral. Lineage: Eukaryota; Viridiplantae; Chlorophyta; Chlorophyceae; Chlamydomonadales; Volvocaceae.